Molecule: transfer RNA, 72 nt
Filed under: Candidatus Staskawiczbacteria bacterium CG10_big_fil_rev_8_21_14_0_10_38_10
Lineage: Bacteria; Candidatus Staskawicziibacteriota
Description: tRNA-Arg
Rfam family: tRNA
About the family: Transfer RNA (tRNA) molecules are approximately 80 nucleotides in length.
Source: RNAcentral
GCCCCUGUAGUUCAAUGGAUAGAAUAAGACCCUUCUAAGGUUUAGAUGGGGGUUCGAUUCCUCCCAGGGGCA